This is a non-coding RNA of Gasterosteus aculeatus aculeatus (three-spined stickleback), 1327 nucleotides long. The record is from RefSeq and is a predicted model, not a curated record. Lineage: Eukaryota; Metazoa; Chordata; Actinopteri; Perciformes; Gasterosteidae.
CUGAAGACAUCAGGACCGCAGAGAGCCUUCACAUCUUCCGCCGCAAACUAAAGACACACCUCUUCAGACAAAUUAGCACUUAAAUUGUACUUGUAACGUCACUCAUUUACAUCAUUGCAUAUGUAAUAAUAUAGGUGAUAUAUAAUAAUUAUAACCACAAGAGCCAUUUUCCUCUAUUGAGUAUGGUACUUUUUACUUUUAAUAGUUCAAGUAUUUCUUUUUGUGGUCAUAUGUUUUUACUUAAUUGAAAUUUUCACUGCAGGACGUGUACUUGUAUUGUAACAGUAGUUUCACAAAGUGGUUUUUGCUUUUUUUUUUUUCCAAACUAUCGGCGCAAAUCCGUUCUCUCUCCACUUGAUGGUCCGUGCCUGCAACGAACAACGUGGAGCUGAACUUAUUGGAGGAGCUGGACCAUAUGAGCUGCACCUAAUCUCUGCACCGGCACUUUGCACCGUUUAUCAGCAUUCUUGUGCUUGACACGCUCAUUUGGAUACAGCAAGAGACGAGGCCCUAGAAUGCAUCACUGUUGGUGUGUUGACAGUUGUCAGUGAAGAUGGUCCUCACGAGGGUGCAAGUUCAGUGGACCUCCUGCCCAUCUCAACUGCCAUCAUUCUGGAGGGAGGUAUCGUCAUGGAUCACAUUAAAAACUUGCCUCAGGCAGUUUGUCUGUUAUUUGGGCUUACAUAUGCUUUGCAUUUGGAUUACCCAAAAUGCUUUGCAAAGACACUCAACUUCAUUCAGACUGUGAUGCUUGGACUGGGAAAGAAAAACCUCCCACCAAAACUUAACUCUGAAGAACAGUCUCCUGGAUUAGACUAGUAAAGAACUAAAUCAGCUGUCAGCAAUUUAAAAGUUAUAAUAAUGUUCUCCUGUUAUUAGUUAAAGUUUGAUGCUUUCAUGCAACUUGUUUAUCUUAAUUUAAAAAAAAAAUCCAUUCAAGUCUGUACCAUGUUAUGCUGGUAUGCUAAUGGAGGAAAUAGUGCCACUGAAGUCCUGUAGUUAUCAGGUGUUUACCUGUUUAAUAUUGUGAGACUGUUACGAAUUAGUUCACAAAAAUGUGGAUUUAUUUUCUACUCGUCCAUGUCAUGGUACACAGUCUAAUCAAACCACAAGUUAUAAGUUAUUUGUCUGCUGUUUAGAUUCUUGGGAACAGAACACCGCUGAAUAAUAGUAAUUUUAUUGAUUAUUGUAAGGUUAUUACAUGAGUCAAUUUUAUGUUGGAGAAUUGGAAUCAGAAGUAAUAACAAUGUCAAAUGUUUUUUGUUCAGCCUAGAUCUGUAAAUGAUGCAAUUUUUUUUUUUUAAUAAAUGUAAUGCAUCUGAAUCAA